RNAcentral lists this ribosomal RNA (1845 nucleotides) under Salmonella enterica subsp. enterica serovar Dublin. RNAcentral describes it as "bacterial LSU rRNA". It matches the Rfam family "Bacterial large subunit ribosomal RNA", at positions 1115 to 2925 of the family's 2925-position model. Lineage: Bacteria; Pseudomonadati; Pseudomonadota; Gammaproteobacteria; Enterobacterales; Enterobacteriaceae. The record is from RNAcentral.
GCCAUCAUUUAAAGAAAGCGUAAUAGCUCACUGGUCGAGUCGGCCUGCGCGGAAGAUGUAACGGGGCUAAACCAUGCACCGAAGCUGCGGCAGCGACGCUUAUGCGUUGUUGGGUAGGGGAGCGUUCUGUAAGCCUGUGAAGGUGGCCUGUGAGGGUUGCUGGAGGUAUCAGAAGUGCGAAUGCUGACAUAAGUAACGAUAAAGCGGGUGAAAAGCCCGCUCGCCGGAAGACCAAGGGUUCCUGUCCAACGUUAAUCGGGGCAGGGUGAGUCGACCCCUAAGGCGAGGCCGAAAGGCGUAGUCGAUGGGAAACGGGUUAAUAUUCCCGUACUUGGUGUUACUGCGAAGGGGGGACGGAGAAGGCUAUGUUGGCCGGGCGACGGUUGUCCCGGUUUAAGCGUGUAGGUGUGUGUUCCAGGUAAAUCCGGUUCACUUUAACACUGAGGCGUGAUGACGAGGCACUACGGUGCUGAAGUAACAAAUGCCCUGCUUCCAGGAAAAGCCUCUAAGCAUCAGGUAACAUCAAAUCGUACCCCAAACCGACACAGGUGGUCAGGUAGAGAAUACCAAGGCGCUUGAGAGAACUCGGGUGAAGGAACUAGGCAAAAUGGUGCCGUAACUUCGGGAGAAGGCACGCUGACACGUAGGUGAAGUGAUUUACUCACGGAGCUGAAGUCAGUCGAAGAUACCAGCUGGCUGCAACUGUUUAUUAAAAACACAGCACUGUGCAAACACGAAAGUGGACGUAUACGGUGUGACGCCUGCCCGGUGCCGGAAGGUUAAUUGAUGGGGUCAGCGCAAGCGAAGCUCCUGAUCGAAGCCCCGGUAAACGGCGGCCGUAACUAUAACGGUCCUAAGGUAGCGAAAUUCCUUGUCGGGUAAGUUCCGACCUGCACGAAUGGCGUAAUGAUGGCCAGGCUGUCUCCACCCGAGACUCAGUGAAAUUGAACUCGCUGUGAAGAUGCAGUGUACCCGCGGCAAGACGGAAAGACCCCGUGAACCUUUACUAUAGCUUGACACUGAACAUUGAGCCUUGAUGUGUAGGAUAGGUGGGAGGCUUUGAAGUGUGGACGCCAGUCUGCAUGGAGCCGACCUUGAAAUACCACCCUUUAAUGUUUGAUGUUCUAACGUGGACCCGUUACCCGGGUUGCGGACAGUGUCUGGUGGGUAGUUUGACUGGGGCGGUCUCCUCCUAAAGAGUAACGGAGGAGCACGAAGGUUGGCUAAUCCUGGUCGGACAUCAGGAGGUUAGUGCAAUGGCAUAAGCCAGCUUGACUGCGAGCGUGACGGCGCGAGCAGGUGCGAAAGCAGGUCAUAGUGAUCCGGUGGUUCUGAAUGGAAGGGCCAUCGCUCAACGGAUAAAAGGUACUCCGGGGAUAACAGGCUGAUACCGCCCAAGAGUUCAUAUCGACGGCGGUGUUUGGCACCUCGAUGUCGGCUCAUCACAUCCUGGGGCUGAAGUAGGUCCCAAGGGUAUGGCUGUUCGCCAUUUAAAGUGGUACGCGAGCUGGGUUUAGAACGUCGUGAGACAGUUCGGUCCCUAUCUGCCGUGGGCGCUGGAGAACUGAGGGGGGCUGCUCCUAGUACGAGAGGACCGGAGUGGACGCAUCACUGGUGUUCGGGUUGUCAUGCCAAUGGCACUGCCCGGUAGCUAAAUGCGGAAGAGAUAAGUGCUGAAAGCAUCUAAGCACGAAACUUGCCCCGAGAUGAGUUCUCCCUGAGACUUAAAGUCUCCUGAAGGAACGUUGAAGACGACGACGUUGAUAGGCCGGGUGUGUAAGCGCAGCGAUGCGUUGAGCUAACCGGUACUAAUGAACCGUGAGGCUUAACCCUACAACGCCGAAG